UGCGUAGGUGGCAAGCGUUGUCCGGAUUUACUGGGCGUAAAGAGCGCGCAGGCGGUCGUUCAAGUCGCGUGUGAAAGCCCCCGGCUCAACUGGGGAGGGUCACGCGAUACUGAUCGACUCGAAGGCAGGAGAGGGUAGUGGAAUUCCCGGUGUAGUGGUGAAAUGCGUAGAUAUCGGGAGGAACACCAGUGGCGAAGGCGACUUCCUGGCCUGUUCUUGACGCUGAGGCGCGAAAGCUAGGGGAGCAAACGGG
This 253-nucleotide ribosomal RNA is filed under the name uncultured bacterium. RNAcentral describes it as "partial 16S ribosomal RNA". It matches the Rfam family "Bacterial small subunit ribosomal RNA", at positions 524 to 776 of the family's 1533-position model. The record is from RNAcentral.